GAUGAACGCUGGCGGCGUGCCUAAUACAUGCAAGUCGAGCGAACGGACGAGAAGCUUGCUUCUCUGAUGUUAGCGGCGGACGGGUGAGUAACACGUGGAUAACCUACCUAUAAUACUGGGAUAACUUCGGGAAACCGGAGCUAAUACCGGAUGAUAUUUUGAACCGCAUGGUUCAAGAGUGAAAGACGGUCUUGCUGUCACUUAUAGAUGGAUCCGCGCUGCAUUAGCUAGUUGGUAAGGUAACGGCUUACCAAGGCAACGAUGCAUAGCCGACCUGAGAGGGUGAUCGGCCACACUGGAACUGAGACACGGUCCAGACUCCUACGGGAGGCAGCAGUAGGGAAUCUUCCGCAAUGGGCGAAAGCCUGACGGAGCAACGCCGCGUGAGUGAUGAAGGUCUUCGGAUCGUAAAACUCUGUUAUUAGGGAAGAACAUAUGUGUAAGUAACUGUGCACAUCUUGACGGUACCUAAUCAGAAAGCCACGGCUAACUACGUG
This 497-nucleotide ribosomal RNA is filed under the name uncultured bacterium. RNAcentral's name for it is "partial 16S ribosomal RNA". It matches the Rfam family "Bacterial small subunit ribosomal RNA", at positions 28 to 507 of the family's 1533-position model. The record is from RNAcentral.